GACCUACGGGUGAAAGCGGGGGAUCGAAAGACCUCGCGCUAUUGGAGCGGCCGAUGUCAGAUUAGCUAGUUGGUGGGGUAAAAGCCUACCAAGGCGACGAUCUGUAGCUGGUCUGAGAGGACGACCAGCCACACUGGGACUGAGACACGCCCCAGACUCCUACGGGAGGCAGCAGUGGGGAAUUUUGGACAAUGGGGGCAACCCUGAUCCAGCCAUGCCGCGUGCGGGAAGAAGGCCUUCGGGUUGUAAACCGCUUUUGUCGGGGAAGAAAAGGUACGCGCUAAUACCGCGGACUAAUGACGGUACCCGAAGAAUAAGCACCGGCUAACUACGUGCCAGCAGCCGCGGUAAUACGUAGGGUGCAAGCGUUAAUCGGAAUUACUGGGCGUAAAGCGUGCGCAGGCGGCUUUGCAAGACAGAUGUGAAAUCCCCGGGCUCAACCUGGGAGCUGCAUUUGUGACUGCAUGGCUAGAGUGCGGCAGAGGGGGAUGGAAUUCCGCGUGUAGCAGUGAAAUGCGUAGAUAUGCGGAGGAACACCGAUGGCGAAGGCAAUCCCCUGGGCCUGCACUGACGCUCAUGCACGAAAGCGUGGGGAGCAAACAGGAUUAGAUACCCUGGUAGUCCACGCCCUAAACGAUGUCAACUGGUUGUUGGACGGCUUGCUGUUCAGUAACGAAGCUAACGCGUGAAGUUGACCGCCUGGGGAGUACGGCCGCAAGGUUGAAACUCAAAGGAAUUGACGGGGACCCGCACAAGCGGUGGAUGAUGUGGUUUAAUUCGAUGCAACGCGAAAAACCUUACCUACCCUUGACAUGCCAGGAACUUACCAGAGAUGGUUUGGUGCUCGAAAGAGAGCCUGGACACAGGUGCUGCAUGGCCGUCGUCAGCUCGUGCCGUGAGAUGUUGGGUUAAGUCCCGCAACGAGCGCAACCCUUAUCAUUAGUUGCUACGCAAGGGCACUCUAAUGAGACUGCCGGUGACAAACCGGAGGAAGGUGGGGAUGACGUCAGGUCAUCAUGGCCCUUAUGGGUAGGGCUACACACGUCAUACAAUGGCCGGUACAGAGGGCUGCCAACCCGCGAGGGGGAGCUAAUCUCAGAAAACCGGUCGUAGUCCGGAUCGCAGUCUGCAACUCGACUGCGUGAAGUCGGAAUCGCUAGUAAUCGCGGAUCAGCUUGCCGCGGUGAAUACGUUCCCGGGUCUUGUACACACCGCCCGUCACACCAUGGGAGCGGGUUCUGCCAGAAGUAGUUAGCCUAACCGUAAGGAGGGCGAUUACCACGGCAGGGUUCGUGACUGGGGUGAAGUCGUAACAAGGUA
RNAcentral lists this ribosomal RNA (1320 nucleotides) under metagenome. RNAcentral describes it as "bacterial SSU rRNA". It matches the Rfam family "Bacterial small subunit ribosomal RNA", at positions 191 to 1498 of the family's 1533-position model. The record is from RNAcentral.